GACAGAGGAUGCAAGCGUUAUCCGUAAUGAUUGGGCGUAAAGAGCGUGUAGGCGGCCAGGUAGGUCUGCUGUGAAAACUCGAGGCUUAACCUCGAGAUGUCGGCGGAAACCAUCUGGCUAGAGUCCGGAAGAGGAGAGCGGAAUUCCUGGUGUAGCGGUGAAAUGCGCAGAUAUCAGGAAGAACACCAAUGGCGAAGGCAGCUUGCUGGGACGGUACUGACGCUGAGGCGCGAAAGCGUGGGGAGCAAACAGG
Molecule: ribosomal RNA, 253 nt
Filed under: uncultured bacterium
Lineage: Bacteria
Description: partial 16S ribosomal RNA
Rfam family: Bacterial small subunit ribosomal RNA
Source: RNAcentral